RNAcentral lists this ribosomal RNA (433 nucleotides) under uncultured bacterium. Its description in RNAcentral is "partial 16S ribosomal RNA". It matches the Rfam family "Bacterial small subunit ribosomal RNA", at positions 29 to 507 of the family's 1533-position model. The record is from RNAcentral.
AACGAACGCUGGCGGCAUGCCUAACACAUGCAAGUCGAACGAUACCGUCGGGUCUUUUUGCGCACCGUUGCUUAACGCCUGGCAACCUGCCCUUACGUUCGUAAUAUCUCCCCGUCUUGUGUGCUACUACCUGAUAAUGUCUUCGGUCCAAAGAAUUCUCGCUCUUGGGUGGGCCCGCGUUGGAUUAGCUAGUUGGUAGGGUAAAUGCCGACCAAGGCUGCGAUCGCUAGCUGGUCUGAGAGGAUGAUCAGCCACACUGGGACUGAGACACGGAGCAGACUCGUACGGGAGGCAGCAGUGGGGAAUAUUGGACAGUGGGCGCAAGCCUGAGACAGCGAUGCCGCGGGAGUGAUGAAGGCCUUAGGGUUGUAAAGCUCUUUUACCCGGGAUGAUAAUGACAGUACCGGGAGAAUAAGCGCCGGCUAACUCCGUG